This is an RNA transcript of Cannabis sativa, 923 nucleotides long. It is a transcript of the gene named AP-3 complex subunit sigma, with no coding region annotated. The transcript has 8 exons. The record is from RefSeq and is a predicted model, not a curated record. Lineage: Eukaryota; Viridiplantae; Streptophyta; Magnoliopsida; Rosales; Cannabaceae.
UAAAAAUAAAAAACAAUUUUUUGUUAAUCAUGAUCAAAUUUUGAAGAGCCUACUGUAACCAAAUGAAUCAAAUUUCCUAAAGUUGAUUGGAGAGGAGAGGAAGAUGAUACGAUCGGUAAUGGUGAUAAACACCCAAGGCAAGCCUCGCCUUGCUAAAUUCUACGAUGUUCAGCCACCGGAGAAACAGCAGGACCUCAUUCGCAACAUCUAUGCAGUACUUUCCAGUAGGGCUGAGAAUGUAAGCAAUUUCAUGGAUGCCGAGCCCUUUUUCGGUCCUGAUACUCGUCUUGUGUACAAACACUUUGCAACUUUGUACUUUGUGUUUGUAUUUGAUAGUUCUGAAAAUGAGCUUGCCAUGCUUGAUUUGAUACAAGUAUUUGUGGAAACAUUGGACAAAUGCUUCAGAGAUGUUUGUGAGCUUGACAUAGUGUUCAACCACAGCAAGAUGCAUACCAUAUUAGAUGAGAUUGUAUUUGGAGGUCUAGUGUUGGAAACAAGCUCUACAGAAGUAAUGAAGGUCGUUGAAGAGAUAUCCAAGUUAGAAACAGCCUCGAAUUCCAUUUCUCUCGUCCCGAAAUCUGUUUCUAGUUGGCGGAGUUAGCGUAAGCUUUUCGAUGAUAUGCAGCAGAUAUUUUCCCGGUUUUCAGUCGCAGAUACUAUCAUUGGAGAUACUCUAAGUAUGCUUUUAAGAUAAAUAAUGAGUUUUAUUGGAUGAAAUAGACGCCUCAUCUUUAAGUAUUUUCUUUUCUCAUCAAAUAAAGUGGUCCCUAAAAAAAGUGUGAGUCCUGACAUUAAAUUGUACCAAACUACUUUAAAGUUAAAAAAAGUAAUUUAUGGUAUAAAUACUUAAGUUUAAUUGACAGUUUCAAAUAAAUACUUAAUUUAAUUUUUAAUGGUAAUAAUCUUUGACAUAUGGUAAUUCC